Molecule: unclassified non-coding RNA, 379 nt
Filed under: uncultured Gammaproteobacteria bacterium
Lineage: Bacteria; Pseudomonadati; Pseudomonadota; Gammaproteobacteria
Description: contains 16S-23S intergenic spacer region
Source: RNAcentral
UCCGGUUUGUCACCGGCAGUCUCAUUAGAGUGCCCAACUAAAUGAUGGCAACUAAUGACAAGGGUUGCGCUCGUUGCGGGACUUAACCCAACAUCUCACGACACGAGCUGACGACAGCCAUGCAGCACCUGUGUCCCGGCUCUCUUUCGAGCACCCUCGCAUCUCUGCAAGGUUCCGGGCAUGUCAAGGGUAGGUAAGGUUUUUCGCGUUGCAUCGAAUUAAUCCACAUCAUCCACCGCUUGUGCGGGUCCCCGUCAAUUCCUUUGAGUUUUAAUCUUGCGACCGUACUCCCCAGGCGGCCAACUUCACGCGUUAGCUUCGGUACUAAGGAAGUCUCCUUCCCCAACACCUAGUUGGCAUCGUUUAGGGCGUGGACUAC